AACUAUGUGCCAGCAGCUGCGGUAAUACAUAGGUCGCGAGCGUUAUUCGGAUUUAUUGGGCGUAAAGCAAGCGCAGGCGGAUGUAUAAGUUCUGUGUGAAAAGCAGCUGCUCAACAGCUGUUGGCGCCGAAUACUAUACAUCUAGAAUACGGUAGGAAGUUUUGGAAUUGAAUAUGGAGCGGUGGAAUGUGUAGAUAUAUUCAAGAACACCAGAGGCGAAGGCGAAAACUUAGGCCGAUAUUGACGCUUAGGCUUGAAAGUGUGGGGAGCAAAUGGGAUUAGAUACCCCAGUAGUCCACACCGUAAACGAUGGGUAUUAAAUUUUGGGGUUAGUGCCUCAGGGUUGUAGCUUACGUGUUAAAUACCCCGCCUGGGUAGUACAUAUGCAAAUAUGAAACUCAAAGGAAUUGACGGGGACCUGAACAAGUGGUGGAACAUGUUGCUUAAUUCGAUAAUACACGAAAAACCUUACCAAGAUUUGACAUCCCUCGCGAAGCUUUAGAGAUAAAGUCAGAGGUUAUCGAGGUGACAGGUGGUGCAUGGUUGUCGUCAGCUCGUGUCAUGAGAUGUUGGGUUAAGUCCCGCAACGAGCGCAACCCUACUCUCUAGUUGUCUGUUUAGAGAGACUGAACAGUAAUGUAUAGGAAGGUCGGGAUCACGUCAAAUCAUCAUGCCCCUUAUGUCUUGGGCUGCAAACGUGUUACAAUGGCGAGCACAGCGUGUCGCAAGCCAGCGAUGGUAAGCUAAUCACUAAAAACUCGUCUCAGUCCGGAUAAAAGGCUGCAAUUCGCCUUUUUGAAGUUGGAAUCACUAGUAAUCCCGUGUCAGCUAUAUCGGGGUGAAUACGUUCCCAGGUCUUGUACACAC
RNAcentral lists this ribosomal RNA (867 nucleotides) under uncultured Mycoplasma sp. RNAcentral describes it as "bacterial SSU rRNA". It matches the Rfam family "Bacterial small subunit ribosomal RNA", at positions 499 to 1390 of the family's 1533-position model. The record is from RNAcentral. Lineage: Bacteria; Bacillati; Mycoplasmatota; Mollicutes; Mycoplasmatales; Mycoplasmataceae.